GACGAACGCUGGCGGCGUGCUUAACACAUGCAAGUCGAACGGAAAGGCCCUGCUUUUGUGGGGUGCUCGAGUGGCGAACGGGUGAGUAACACGUGAGUAACCUGCCCUUGACUUUGGGAUAACUUCAGGCAACUGGGGCUAAUACCGGAUAGGAGCUCCUGCUGCAUGGUGGGGGUUGGAAAGUUUCGGCGGGUGGGGAUGGACUCGCGGCUUAUCAGCUUGUUGGUGGGGUAGUGGCUUACCCAGGCAUUGACUGGUAGCCGGCAUGAGAGGGUGACCAGGGACAAUGCGACUGCGAUACGGCCCAGACUGCUACGUGAGGCAGCAGGGGGGAAUAUGGCACAAUGGGCGGAAGCCUGAGGCGGCAAUGCCGCGAGCGGGAAGACGGCCUUCGGGUGGUAAACCGCAUUCGCUUGUGACGUAGCGUGAGUGACGGUAACGGGUAAAGAAGCACCGGCUAACUACGUG
RNAcentral lists this ribosomal RNA (468 nucleotides) under uncultured bacterium. RNAcentral describes it as "partial 16S ribosomal RNA". It matches the Rfam family "Bacterial small subunit ribosomal RNA", at positions 28 to 507 of the family's 1533-position model. The record is from RNAcentral.